Molecule: long non-coding RNA, 625 nt
Filed under: Homo sapiens (human)
Lineage: Eukaryota; Metazoa; Chordata; Mammalia; Primates; Hominidae
Description: non-protein coding lnc-C9orf72-4:1
Source: RNAcentral
AAUAAACAAUGAGGAAAUCACUUAGGUAAGAUAUUCAAUUACCUUCAGGAUGGAGCAGUUCUAUUUCUUGAGAGCCAUGGGGAGAUGGAGGAGUUGUUGGCAGAGACCAUGGUUUAGGGCCUCAUAGAAAAAUCCCUGGCAGGCCUAGAAAACAAAGGUACUUUUGAGUCUUGCUGCAGAGACUGUUUUCACUUCUUCCAAUAAAGACUAAAAACUUAUAGUAACUUUAAAUAAGCUAGCUUUGCAGUUGCUAUAUAACAGAAGUAGCAACAACUAUUCAUAAACCAACAUAUCUGACAACAAGUUGAUGAAAAACAUUUAACUUUUUGACAUGCUAUCCAUGAAGUUUAAUGGUGGAUCCUACUUAUAAAAGAUGUUAUAGGGGACUGAAUUUGCUCUUGAUCCUUUUAGUAUAAGGGCUUCAAGACUGCUGCUUUUGUUAUACCUCCAUCAUCUACACAACUGUGAAGAAACAGACCAAAGUAGAAUUCCUCAAAGCCUGGAUUUUAAAAGAGAGAAUGGACAUUUCCUGAAUGAAGUAUAUAGCACAGCCAGGAAUUUAAUUAUGCAUUGCUGGAGGCCACAGGUGGAGCAGCCAAAGACUCCACCAUCUGGAAAAGGAUGA